RNAcentral lists this transfer RNA (73 nucleotides) under Trichonephila clavata. It matches the Rfam family "tRNA". From Rfam's summary of the family: Transfer RNA (tRNA) molecules are approximately 80 nucleotides in length. Their secondary structure includes four short double-helical elements and three loops (D, anti-codon, and T loops). Lineage: Eukaryota; Metazoa; Arthropoda; Arachnida; Araneae; Nephilidae. The record is from Rfam by way of RNAcentral.
GUCCCUGUAGCGCAAUGGAUAGCGCGUUUGAAUUCUAAUCCAAUGGUCGUGGGAGUGAAUCCCACCUGGGAUG